RNAcentral lists this ribosomal RNA (198 nucleotides) under Penicillium novae-zeelandiae. RNAcentral describes it as "partial 28S ribosomal RNA". It matches the Rfam family "Eukaryotic large subunit ribosomal RNA", at positions 1 to 197 of the family's 3401-position model. The record is from RNAcentral. Lineage: Eukaryota; Fungi; Ascomycota; Eurotiomycetes; Eurotiales; Aspergillaceae.
UUGACCUCGGAUCAGGUAGGGAUACCCGCUGAACUUAAGCAUAUCAAUAAGCGGAGGAAAAGAAACCAACAGGGAUUGCCUCAGUAACGGCGAGUGAAGCGGCAAGAGCUCAAAUUUGAAAGCUGGCUCCUUCGGGGUCCGCAUUGUAAUUUGCAGAGGAUGCUUCGGGAGCGGUCCCCAUCUAAGUUCUCUGGAACG